AUGCGGGUGCUAUACAUGCAAGUCGAGCGGACAGAUGGGAGCUUGCUCCCUGAUGUUAGCGGCGGACGGGUGAGUAACACGUGGGUAACCUGCCUGUAAGACUGGGAUAACUCCGGGAAACCGGGGCUAAUACCGGAUGGUUGUUUGAACCGCAUGGUUCAGACAUAAAAGGUGGCUUCGGCUACCACUUACAGAUGGACCCGCGGCGCAUUAGCUAGUUGGUGAGGUAACGGCUCACCAAGGCGACGAUGCGUAGCCGACCUGAGAGGGUGAUCGGCCACACUGGGACUGAGACACGGCCCAG
RNAcentral lists this ribosomal RNA (304 nucleotides) under uncultured Bacillus sp. RNAcentral's name for it is "bacterial SSU rRNA". It matches the Rfam family "Bacterial small subunit ribosomal RNA", at positions 42 to 334 of the family's 1533-position model. Lineage: Bacteria; Bacillati; Bacillota; Bacilli; Caryophanales; Bacillaceae. The record is from RNAcentral.